This 501-nucleotide ribosomal RNA is filed under the name uncultured bacterium. Its description in RNAcentral is "partial 16S ribosomal RNA". It matches the Rfam family "Bacterial small subunit ribosomal RNA", at positions 30 to 523 of the family's 1533-position model. The record is from RNAcentral.
AUUGAACGCUGGCGGAAUGCUUUACACAUGCAAGUCGAACGGCAGCACGGACUUCGGUCUGGUGGCGAGUGGCGAACGGGUGAGUAAUGUAUCGGAACGUGCCCAGUCGUGGGGGAUAACGUAGUGAAAAUUACGCUAAUAACGCAUACGAUCUAUGGAUGAAAGGGGGGGAUCGCAAGACCUCGCGCGAGUGGAGCGGCCGAUAUCAGAUUAGGGAGUUGGUGGGGUAAAGGCCCACCAAGCCAACGAUCGGUAGCUGGCUCUGAGAGGACGACCAGCCACACUGGAACUGAGACACGGUCCAGACUCCUACGGGAGGCAGCAGUGGGGAAUUUUGGACAAUGGGCGAAAGCCUGAUCCAGCCAUUCCGCGUGCAGGAUGAAGGCCCUCGGGUUGUAAACUGCUUUUGUACAGAACGAAAAGGUUUCUACUAAUACUAGGAGCUCAUGACGGUACUGUAAGAAUAAGCACCGGCUAACUACGUGCCAGCAGCCGCAGUAA